GGGAGAAUAGCUCAGUUGGUUAGAGCACACCCCUGAUAAGGGUGAGGUCGGAGGUUCAAGUCCUCUUUCUCCCACUA
This 77-nucleotide transfer RNA is filed under the name Bacillus sp. M6-12. RNAcentral's name for it is "tRNA-Ile". It matches the Rfam family "tRNA". Rfam says of the family: Transfer RNA (tRNA) molecules are approximately 80 nucleotides in length. Lineage: Bacteria; Bacillati; Bacillota; Bacilli; Caryophanales; Bacillaceae. The record is from RNAcentral.